UGUUAUUUCUUGAUAAUGGAAUCUAAUGCUCUUUUCCUUUAUGUAUAGAGAUAAUUGUAACAAAUAAUGGAAUAUACUUUUAUGGACCGGG
This is a non-coding RNA of Pseudonaja textilis, 91 nucleotides long. NCBI's taxonomy places the organism in Eukaryota, Metazoa, Chordata, Lepidosauria, Squamata, Elapidae. The record is from RefSeq and is a predicted model, not a curated record.